AGUGAACGCUGGCGGUAGGCCUAACACAUGCAAGUCGAACGGCAGCACAGUAAGAGCUUGCUCUUACGGGUGGCGAGUGGCGGACGGGUGAGGAAUACAUCGGACUCUACUUUUUCGUGGGGGAUAACGUAGGGAAACUUACGCUAAUACCGCAUACGACCUACGGGUGAAAGCAGGGGAUCUUCGGACCUUGCGCGGAUGAAUGAGCCGAUGUCGGAGUAGCUAGUUGGCGGGGUAAAGGCCCACCAAGGCGACGAUCCGUAGCUGGUCUGAGAGGAUGAUCAGCCACACUGGAACUGAGACACGGUCCAUACUCCUACGGGAGGCAGCAGUGGGGAAUAUUGGACAAUGGGCGCAAGCCUGAUCCAGCCAGACCGCGUGGGUGAAGAAGGCCUUCGGGUUGUAAAGCCCUUUUGUUGGGAAAGAAAAGCAGCAGGUUAAUACCCCGCUGUUCUGACGGUACCCAAUGAAUAAGCACCGGCUAACUUCGUG
This 492-nucleotide ribosomal RNA is filed under the name uncultured bacterium. RNAcentral describes it as "partial 16S ribosomal RNA". It matches the Rfam family "Bacterial small subunit ribosomal RNA", at positions 29 to 507 of the family's 1533-position model. The record is from RNAcentral.